UACAGAGGUCCCAAGCGUUGUUCGGAUUCACUGGGCGUGAAGGGUGCGUAGGCGGUCGGGUAAGUCUGGCGUGAAAUCUCCAAGCCUAACUUGGAAACUGCGUUGGAUACUAUCCGGCUCGAGGAAUGGAGGGGAGACUGGAAUACUUGGUGUAGCAGUGAAAUGCGUAGAUAUCAAGUGGAACACCAGUGGCGAAGGCGAGUCUCUGGACAUUUCCUGACGCUGAGGCACGAAAGCCAGGGGAGCAAACGGG
RNAcentral lists this ribosomal RNA (253 nucleotides) under uncultured bacterium. RNAcentral describes it as "partial 16S ribosomal RNA". It matches the Rfam family "Bacterial small subunit ribosomal RNA", at positions 524 to 776 of the family's 1533-position model. The record is from RNAcentral.